CUACGUAGGGGGCGAGCGUUGUCCGGAUUUACUGGGCGUAAAGGGUGAGUAGGCGGUUGUAUAUGUCAGGUGUAAAAGGCUAUGGCUUAACCAUAGUUCGCACUUGAAACUGUAUAACUUGAGUGCAGGAGAGGUAAGCGGAAUUCCUAGUGUAGCGGUGAAAUGCGUAGAUAUUAGGAGGAACACCAGUGGCGAAGGCGGCUUACUGGACUGUAACUGACGCUGAGUCACGAAAGCGUGGGUAGCAAACAGGAUUAGAUACCCUGGUAGUCCACGCUGUAAACGAUGAGUGCUAGGUGUUGGGUAGCGAUACUCAGUGCCGUAGUAAACACAAUAAGCACUCCGCCUGGGGAGUACGUACGCAAGUAUGAAACUCAAAGGAAUUGACGGGG
Molecule: ribosomal RNA, 392 nt
Filed under: uncultured bacterium
Lineage: Bacteria
Description: partial 16S ribosomal RNA
Rfam family: Bacterial small subunit ribosomal RNA
Source: RNAcentral